UGAGGGUGCAAGCGUUAAUCGGAAUUACUGGGCGUAAAGCGAGUGUAGGCGGCUAUUUAAGUCGGAUGUGAAAGCCCCGGGCUCAACCUGGGAAUUGCAUUCGAAACUGGAUGGCUAGAGUUUGGUAGAGGUAAGUGGAAUUCCGGGUGUAGCGGUGAAAUGCGUAGAUAUCCGGAGGAACAUCAGUGGCGAAGGCGACUUACUGGACCAAAACUGACGCUGAGGCUCGAAAGCGUGGGGAGCAAACAGGGAUUAGAUACCCUGGUAGUCCACGCCCUAAACGAUGUCAACUAGACGUUGGGUUCAUUAAGGAACUUAGUGUCGAAGCUAACGCGUUAAGUUGACCGCCUGGGGAGUACGGCCGCAAGGUUG
This 372-nucleotide ribosomal RNA is filed under the name uncultured organism. RNAcentral's name for it is "partial 16S ribosomal RNA". It matches the Rfam family "Bacterial small subunit ribosomal RNA", at positions 527 to 896 of the family's 1533-position model. The record is from RNAcentral.